UGUGCACGCCUCACUCGAAAAAGAGAAAAUAAUAAUAAUAUUAAUAAAAAAGAAGAAGAAGAGAGAGAGAGAUUACAAUCUCACAAACACACUCAGUCUCAGGGAGAAGAGAGAGAGAGAGAGAGAGAGAGUUUGGAAAAGGGAAAGUUUGGCGAAAAGGGUAGCAGAGAAAGAAUGGGAAAUGUUUGAAAAUGGUUUCGUUUUCAUGGGGUUUCUUUUGGGUGGGAUGAGAUCGAACUUUUUAUUCUUAUUUAGUUGAUGUAAAUUUGUUUUUUUUUUUUUUUUUUUUCUUGGAAUAAUAUAAAUGGGUGUUUAAAUUGGGUUGGUUUGGUGAGAGUUGGGAUUUCUCUGGGUUGAGAUUUGGGAGGUAGGGUUUUUGGUGAUUUGGGAUUGGUUAGGGGGAGUUGGUUGGGGGUGGGGGUAGGAGUUUUUUGUGAUGUUGUGUUUGGGUGUGGCAUACCAUUUGGAUCUAAGAUUUUUGGUCACUUAGACAAAAAAAGCAAGGGGGAAAUAUGGAGAGGAAGCUUUGGUCUUCAUUUUGCCUUUGGUUGAUUUUGGUGGUUCAUCCCUUAUGGGUGAUUAUGGUAUCUGCUAACAGGGAAGGUGAUGCCUUGCAUAGUCUGAGGACCAACUUACAGGAUCCCAACAACGUUCUGCAGAGUUGGAAUCCCACCCUUGUAAACCCGUGUACAUGGUUUCAUGUCACGUGCAACAAUGAUAAUAGUGUGAUAAGGGUUGAUCUUGGAAAUGCUGCUUUGUCUGGUCAACUUGUUCCACAGCUUGGCCUUCUCAAGAAUCUACAAUAUUUGGAACUUUACAGUAAUAACAUUAGUGGAACAAUUCCUAGUGAUUUGGGGAAUUUGACCAGCUUGGUUAGCUUGGAUCUGUAUUUGAAUACUUUUACUGGUCCUAUCCCGGACACCUUGGGCAAGUUGUCAAAAUUGAGAGUUCUUCGGCUUAACAACAAUAGUCUGACGGGUCCAAUUCCUAUGUCGUUGACCAACAUCGCCUCACUGCAAGUGCUGGAUCUAUCAAAUAACAAAUUAACUGGAGAGGUUCCAGACAAUGGCUCAUUUUCUUUAUUCACUCCCAUCAGUUUUGCUAAUAACUUAAAUCUAUGUGGCCCGGUCACUGGGCGGCCCUGUCCUGGAUCCCCCCCAUUUUCGCCUCCUCCUCCUUUUGUACCACCACCCCCAAUUUCAACCCCAGGUUCGCAGAGCACGACUCAAGACGAUUCUAGGGUCAGAUAGCGGGAAAAAGUCACAACGGGACCUAAGAUAUGACUUUGGAUAAGUCAGGGGUAUUUUUAGAUAGCAGGUAGCGAUUUGGAUUAUCGGGUCAUGAAAAUAAAUAUAUGGAGAUAUAUUUGAGGUUAGGAUGUCUAGGCGGGAAUAUUGGGGGAUUUUACCAUUUUGGCCUCGGGGACGGUUCCGGCACCCCGAGCCUCGGGAUUAACUUAAUGAGUGAGAUAGACAUAAGGAAGCCUUUAGAAAAUACAAACCGACUAAAACUUUUAUCUCAGCUCUCUCUCACUCUCAAGGAAAACAAAGGGAAGGAAAAACACAGUGAACUUAAGGGGGAACAAGCAGGAAUUUCUGAGAUUUGUAGUGAGGAUUUGGAGGUUUAGCUCAGGAGUAAAUCAAGAACAAAAACAAGGAUUAAGGUAAGCAUCUAAUCUUCUUUUCUGUGGUUGAAUUCUGAGUUCUAGCUGGGUUUUGGUCAAGUUUUGAAGCAAACAUGGUUUUGAUGUCUUAAGGCAGAAUUAAGGAGGAAACUUGGAGAUUUAGCUUGGCUUUGGCUUGGUGAUGUGAUUCAACAGAAGAGGUAAGUUUUAACUCAUGGUUUAGAGGUUUUAGAUUGGGUUUGGAUGGCUGGUUUGAAUGUUCAUAGCUCUUGAGUUUCAGAAAUUGAAAAGAGAAGAUUAGUGUGUGUUGGGUUGGGUUGAGUUUUCUGUGGAAUUAAAUUGUUUAAGUCAUGUUAAAGGUAUUGGAUUUGUUGGGUGUUGAAAUAGGGAGCUUAAGGGUGGUUGUGGCUGAGGUUUUGAACCUUGAAAUGGUGUAAAUUCUGGGUUCGAAGGGGAGGGUCGCGGCUCUGUUCUAGAGCGCUGCGGCCCUAGCAUGCAAAGGAGCCAAGGAGGCUCGGCCAAAGGCAAGCGCCGCGGCGCCCAAAGCAAGGGUCGCGGCGCGUGUCCUCCUUCAGCUGUGGUGUUGGUUCUGUUUUGGGGAAGGGCCGCGGCUAGGCUUCAGGGGCCGCAGCCCUUGGUUGCACUCAUGAAUUUUUGAGGGUUUUAGGCACGGGAAAGUGGUCUAGUGUGCUUGGGUUUGGUUUCACCACCGUGCUUGGUGGGAUUUGGAAUCCCGGGAGUUAGUUUUGUAACUAGAAACCUAUAUUGGAGUAUUAAUGGAACCCUAUACUUUGGUUGUGACUAGGAGAUAAAGACUUAGGCUUGGGAGCGGAUCGUGCUUGAGAGGCGUUGCUCGUAAUCCAAUAACUGCACAGACUAAAGGUAAAGGCAAGGGAAAAUUAGACCAGCCUUGAUUGGAGAGCUCAACGAGCGGAAUGUACAUAGCCAGGUGCUCGGCCGCCACGGUUGAGGUUUAGGCAAGAACGUGAAACCUGAAGUCUGUUUGUUUUGCCUUAGUAUGGCUAGUGAAUACUCAUGUACUUUUGGGAGUCUGUAAACUUAUUUAAAACUUGUUUUCUUAUGGGAUCCCAUGUUUACUACAGUUUAAAUAUAUGAAAUGAGUCUUUUGAGACCAAAACCUUUCUAACCCUGACUCUACAUGCUUAGUGACACGUCUUUAAAAUAUUGACUUGAUUAGCAAGUCUUGCACCUUUAUAAGUACACAGUGUAACGGUCUUGGCUAUCCAGGGCGUUACAACUUGGUAUCAGAGCGUCCUAGGUUUAAGGAUUCCUGAAGACAGCCUGGACAUGUACAUUCGCUGCUGGAGACAAGCUCAAGUCAAGGUUGGUAAGGUGUAUAUGUGUGUUUAUGUGCUUAUGUGCCUGAGAUGAGCUAUGCAUUUUGUGAUUCAUUGAAUUGCUGGGAAGCAUGAGGUACUGAUAGGGCUUGGCCCUUGACUGCUGUGUGAAAAUAUUGAGGCAUGUUUAUUAACAUUGUCGUGCAUGUAAAUGGGUAUGUGGAUGAUUAAUUGUA
Molecule: RNA transcript, 3158 nt
Organism: Humulus lupulus (European hop)
Lineage: Eukaryota; Viridiplantae; Streptophyta; Magnoliopsida; Rosales; Cannabaceae
Gene name: somatic embryogenesis receptor kinase 2-like
Exons: 9
Source: RefSeq, a predicted model, not a curated record